This 47-nucleotide small RNA is filed under the name Sinorhizobium meliloti 2011. Its description in RNAcentral is "putative ncRNA". Lineage: Bacteria; Pseudomonadati; Pseudomonadota; Alphaproteobacteria; Hyphomicrobiales; Rhizobiaceae. The record is from RNAcentral.
CGCCGGUUGCUGCUGAUCGGAGGGCUGUUGCUGAUCUGCCGGCUGCU